AAUUCUCAACUUCAUCAACUUUGUUGUUGAAGCUUGGAUGUGGGGGUUUUGCAGGUCUGCCUUAAUUGUGUGGUCUGCUCUCCUGAAAUAUAUUAGCGGGUUGGCUUCCCUCUAUCAGUGUGAUAAUUAUCUACGCUGUGGAUGGGUUUGGCUUUCAGACCAGCUUCUAAUCGUCCUUCUAGGACAAUCUCUUGACAU
Molecule: unclassified non-coding RNA, 198 nt
Filed under: Lacrymaria lacrymabunda
Lineage: Eukaryota; Fungi; Basidiomycota; Agaricomycetes; Agaricales; Psathyrellaceae
Description: partial internal transcribed spacer 2
Source: RNAcentral